AGCGAACGCUGGCGGCAGGCUUAACACAUGCAAGUCGAGCGGGCAUCCUUGUGGUGUCAGCGGCAGACGGGUGAGUAACGCGUGGGAACGUGCCCUUCGGUUCGGAAUAACUCGGGGAAACUUGAGCUAAUACCGGAUACGUGCGAGAGCAGAAAGGUUUAUCUGCCGAAGGAUCGGCCCGCGUCUGAUUAGCUAGUUGGUGAGGUUAUGGCUCACCAAGGCGACGAUCAGUAGCUGGUCUGAGAGGAUGAUCAGCCACACUGGGACUGAGACACGGCCCAGACUCCUACGGGAGGCAGCAGUGGGGAAUAUUGGACAAUGGGGGCAACCCUGAUCCAGCCAUGCCGCGUGAGUGAUGACGGCCUUAGGGUUGUAAAGCUCUUUUCUUCGGGACGAUAAUGACGGUACCGGAGGAAUAAGCCCGGGCUAACUUCGU
Molecule: ribosomal RNA, 436 nt
Filed under: uncultured bacterium
Lineage: Bacteria
Description: partial 16S ribosomal RNA
Rfam family: Bacterial small subunit ribosomal RNA
Source: RNAcentral